ACCAGCAGCCAUAUCACCCCGAAACUCACAACUGGCAGCCCACUGAAGCUAAGCAGGUGUGAGCCUGGUCAGUACCUGGAUGGGAGACCUCCUGGGAAAAACUAAGGUUGCUGCUGGAA
RNAcentral lists this ribosomal RNA (119 nucleotides) under Lepisosteus oculatus (spotted gar). The record is from RNAcentral. Lineage: Eukaryota; Metazoa; Chordata; Actinopteri; Semionotiformes; Lepisosteidae.